CAAUGAUUCUUGUGGAUCCAAGAACUGAAGGACUUUUCCUCCCAAACACAGGAGCCAACAGCGAUGAGGACCUGUGUGAUGUGUAGAACUCUGGAGCUUCCUUGCCAGUGGUACUUGGCCCAGUUACAAUUGCUUGAAUCUCCAGGACUGUCAGCAGCAGUGAGCUUGGGGACUCCUUGGGACAAGCUGAACCCAGGCUACUGAUCUCUGGAAGAACCUGAUUUAACAGGGUCAGCUCCUCUCUGCCUCACCUCUGGGUGUGCUCUGUCCCGGAAGGACCCCUGCAGCAGCUCCUUAAAACAGGGCCAUCUGCACCGUCCCAGGUCACACCACGACUUGCACUGUGUUCCAGAGAAACUCUGAGCCACUUAAUUUUCAAAAAUGCCCUCUGCGGCCCUGCAGGCCAAAACAUUCUUCUCUACUUGGAUAACUUGCAUUCCUCUUUCAAAUUUAGGUUGUCAGCCUUUUGGGAUGCUUUCUG
RNAcentral lists this long non-coding RNA (481 nucleotides) under Chinchilla lanigera (long-tailed chinchilla). Its description in RNAcentral is "lncRNA (ENSCLAG00000024615.1)". Lineage: Eukaryota; Metazoa; Chordata; Mammalia; Rodentia; Chinchillidae. The record is from RNAcentral.